RNAcentral lists this transfer RNA (98 nucleotides) under Penicillium olsonii. Its description in RNAcentral is "tRNA-Val". It matches the Rfam family "tRNA". Rfam says of the family: Transfer RNA (tRNA) molecules are approximately 80 nucleotides in length. Their secondary structure includes four short double-helical elements and three loops (D, anti-codon, and T loops). Lineage: Eukaryota; Fungi; Ascomycota; Eurotiomycetes; Eurotiales; Aspergillaceae. The record is from RNAcentral.
GCAGUUUCGUGGUCUAGCGGUUAUGAUUUUCCGUUAACAAUUGCUUUACAAGCGAGAGUUCCGGAAAGGUUCUGGGUUCGAUUCCCAGCGAAACUAUA